This 582-nucleotide ribosomal RNA is filed under the name Staphylococcus sp. RNAcentral describes it as "bacterial SSU rRNA". It matches the Rfam family "Bacterial small subunit ribosomal RNA", at positions 349 to 923 of the family's 1533-position model. Lineage: Bacteria; Bacillati; Bacillota; Bacilli; Caryophanales; Staphylococcaceae. The record is from RNAcentral.
CAGCAGUAGGGAUCUUCCGCAAUGGACGAAAGUCUGACGGAGCAACGCCGCGUGAGUGAUGAAGGUUUUCGGAUCGUAAAACUCUGUUAUUAGGGAAGAACAAAUGCGUAAGUAACUGUGCGCAUCUUGACGGUACCUAAUCAGAAAGCCACGGCUAACUACGUGCCAGCAGCCGCGGUAAUACGUAGGUGGCAAGCGUUAUCCGGAAUUAUUGGGCGUAAAGCGCGCGUAGGCGGUUUCUUAAGUCUGAUGUGAAAGCCCACGGCUCAACCGUGGAGGGUCAUUGGAAACUGGGAAACUUGAGUACAGAAGAGGAAAGUGGAAUUCCAUGUGUAGCGGUGAAAUGCGCAGAGAUAUGGAGGAACACCAGUGGCGAAGGCGACUUUCUGGUCUGUAACUGACGCUGAUGUGCGAAAGCGUGGGGAUCAAACAGGAUUAGAUACCCUGGUAGUCCACGCCGUAAACGAUGAGUGCUAAGUGUUAGGGGGUUUCCGCCCCUUAGUGCUGCAGCUAACGCAUUAAGCACUCCGCCUGGGGAGUACGACCGCAAGGUUGAAACUCAAAGGAAUUGACGGGGCCCCU